RNAcentral lists this ribosomal RNA (301 nucleotides) under uncultured bacterium. RNAcentral describes it as "partial 16S ribosomal RNA". It matches the Rfam family "Bacterial small subunit ribosomal RNA", at positions 509 to 807 of the family's 1533-position model. The record is from RNAcentral.
CAGUCGCCGCGGGAAUACGAAGGGGGCUAGCGUUGUUCGGAAUUACUGGGCGUAAAGCGCACGUAGGCGGAUAUUUAAGUCAGGGGUGAAAUCCCAGAGCUCAACUCUGGAACUGCCUUUGAUACUGGAAGUCUUGAGUUCGGGAGAGGUGAGUGGAACUGCGAGUGUAGAGGUGAAAUUCGUAGAUAUUCGCAAGAACACCAGUGGCGAAGGCGGCUCACUGGCCCGAUACUGACGCUGAGGUGCGAAAGCGUGGGGAGCAAACAGGAUUAGAUACCCCGGUAGUCCCUGUCUCUUAUAC